RNAcentral lists this ribosomal RNA (252 nucleotides) under uncultured bacterium. RNAcentral describes it as "partial 16S ribosomal RNA". It matches the Rfam family "Bacterial small subunit ribosomal RNA", at positions 524 to 776 of the family's 1533-position model. The record is from RNAcentral.
UACGGGGGGGUAAGCGUUGUUCGGAAUUACUGGGCGUAAAGGGCUCGUAGGCGGCCAACUAAGUCAUACGUGAAAUCCCUCAGCUUAACUGGGGGACUGCGUGUGAUACUGGAUGGCUUGGAUGUGGGAGAGGGAUGCGGAAUUCCAGGUGUAGCGGUGAAAUGCGCAGAGAUCGGAAGGAACACCCGUAGCGAAGGCGGCACUCUGGGCCGGUACUGACGCUGAGGAGCGAAAGCGUGGGGAGCAAACAGG